Molecule: transfer RNA, 82 nt
Filed under: Clostridia bacterium
Lineage: Bacteria; Bacillati; Bacillota; Clostridia
Description: tRNA-Leu
Rfam family: tRNA
About the family: Transfer RNA (tRNA) molecules are approximately 80 nucleotides in length. Their secondary structure includes four short double-helical elements and three loops (D, anti-codon, and T loops).
Source: RNAcentral
GCCGGCGUGGCGGAAUUGGCAGACGCAGGGGACUUAAAAUCCCCCGAACUUGUUCGUGCCGGUUCGAUCCCGGCCGUCGGCA